UUACUGCCAAUUGGAAUACGUAAACUGCAUGGAAAAUUAUGACUUAUGGACAGUCGCUCACAUGGGAAUUUGCUACAACGUAUCGUCGUUCCAAACCUUCGCAUAUUAUGCAUAUGCCAUUUGGGAUGAUCAACAGUUGCAAGAAUUGUACGUAAUGCCUGCAAUAGGAUAAA
Cydia amplana is the source of this 173-nucleotide long non-coding RNA. RefSeq lists it as uncharacterized. The transcript has 3 exons. The record is from RefSeq and is a predicted model, not a curated record. NCBI's taxonomy places the organism in Eukaryota, Metazoa, Arthropoda, Insecta, Lepidoptera, Tortricidae.